Molecule: unclassified non-coding RNA, 640 nt
Filed under: Hevea brasiliensis (rubber tree)
Lineage: Eukaryota; Viridiplantae; Streptophyta; Magnoliopsida; Malpighiales; Euphorbiaceae
Source: RNAcentral
GAAAAAUAUAUAUAUAAAAAAUCAAAUCUUUGAUGGAUGAUUCUCCAAAAAAGUGGUAAAUUUUCCAUUCCCAGAAAAUCUCAAGAACCAAAAAGCAAAUGGGGCAGAAUACUGGUGCAAGUGGCAAAGGGAAGAAAGAAGCAGAAACGGAAAAGGAAACAGUGGUAGAAGAAGAAGAAGAGGAAGUUGAAGAAGGUGGAGAAGAAGCUGAACAAGAUGGAAUGUCUGUUCAUUCUCCUUGUAAACCUGCAUCUUCUGCUCUUCGUAAGGAACAAUCACAGGUGGAAUUGGAGAUAAGAUUGUUGGAGGCUCUUGAAAUCUAUCCCCCUGCCAAAUUGAGAGGCAUCCAUCGUCAUUUUGUCCUAUACGGCUUAACAGAGCAUCUGCGUAGAAGCUUCAAUAGGCAAUUUGCUCCUGAUGAUGUUUUGAAGCUGCUGGAUCGCUUCUACAACUUGGAUAUGGUGAAACCAGAGGACGAGGACUCUGAAAUCCUAAAUCAAGAGGAAGAGUUUUGCCUACCUCACAGUUAUUUCUCGAGGGACGAACCUUGAACUAAGUUGGAAUCGAUAUGGAUAUUGAACUUCUACAUAUGGCAGUUUUUGUAUAGUAGUAUCUGGGUGGUUCAAUUUUUUUUUUUUUU